Molecule: unclassified non-coding RNA, 60 nt
Filed under: synthetic construct
Source: RNAcentral
UUUCAUGACCCCGUUACAUGUUCGGAGCAGCAGACCCCUGCCGGUCAGCAAUUACGGUUG